RNAcentral lists this transfer RNA (75 nucleotides) under Clostridium sp. CAG:269. RNAcentral describes it as "transfer RNA-Ala(TGC)". It matches the Rfam family "tRNA". From Rfam's summary of the family: Transfer RNA (tRNA) molecules are approximately 80 nucleotides in length. Their secondary structure includes four short double-helical elements and three loops (D, anti-codon, and T loops). The record is from RNAcentral. Lineage: Bacteria; Bacillati; Bacillota; Clostridia; Eubacteriales; Clostridiaceae.
GUCCUUGUAGCUCAGCUGGACAGAGCAACUCUUUUGCGAAGAGUUAGGUCAGGGGUUCGAAUCCCCUCUUGGAAU